RNAcentral lists this ribosomal RNA (279 nucleotides) under uncultured archaeon. RNAcentral's name for it is "partial 16S rRNA". It matches the Rfam family "Archaeal small subunit ribosomal RNA", at positions 1047 to 1325 of the family's 1478-position model. The record is from RNAcentral.
GAGACCCGUGCCCACAGUUGCCAGCAUCUCCGCAUGGAGGAUGGGCACUCUGUGGGGACUGCCGCCGCUAAGGUGGAGGAAGAAGCGGGCCACGGUAGGUCAGUAUGCCCCGAAUCCUCCGGGCUACACGCGUGCUACAAUGGGUAGUACAAUGGGUAUCGACCCCGAAAGGGGAGGGUAAUCUCCUAAAGCUACCCCCAGUUGGGAUCGAGGGCUGCAACUCGCCCUCGUGAACCUGGAAUCCGUAGUAAUCGCCCCUCACAAUGGGGCGGUGAAUAU